Rhineura floridana is the source of this 4573-nucleotide RNA transcript. It is a transcript of the gene named transmembrane protein 242, with no coding region annotated. The transcript has 5 exons. The record is from RefSeq and is a predicted model, not a curated record. Lineage: Eukaryota; Metazoa; Chordata; Lepidosauria; Squamata; Rhineuridae.
ACAUACCGAACGAGCCCGCCUCCAGCGCCAUCUCCAUCCGGGUGGCGGCGAAGGGGAAAAGUCCCUAAGCCGGGCUCGAGUGGAAGCAUGGGGCAGGCUGUCCCCGAGGCGGGCCAGCAGAAUGUCCUCCAGGGGAGCGCUAUUGGCAUGGCGGGUCACCCUGCUACAGCACAUACGGAAGAAUCGAAGCGCCUGCUCUUCUUAAUAAAAGGUGGCAUUUUUCUUUCUACAGUUGCUACUGCAGGAAUUCUAGCAGGUUUUGGUACAACCCUUGCCAUGGCUAAAAAGAAAAACCCCAACUGGUUCAAUAAGGGUGUAGUUGCCACAGCUGCUUUACCAGAGAGUGGUUCAUCCCUCGCUUUACGUGCCUUAGGAUGGGGUUCACUUUAUGCCUGGUGUGGAGUGGGAUUGAUCAGUCUUGCUGUCUGGAAAGCUUUGGGUGUUCACAAUAUGAAUGAAUUUCAGAACAAAAUUCAAUCAAUAUUUCCAUCAAUUCCCAAAAAUGCCACACACCCUGUUGAGUGGGAGGACAUUCUGAAAUCCAAGUGAACGGCACAUGAAGGAACUUUGACUGAACCUUUUAAAACUUUAGAGGAGUGACGUGUAUGUGGAAAUUCCCCAUUCCAAAGAACAGGGAGAAAGAAGGAAGGCUAAAUCCUGUGUUCGUGUUUUAUUAAAGGAAAGGAACUAACUUGGAGAGCCGUAUUUCCUAGAAAUGCAAUGGAGGUAUGACUUAGUCCUUUAAAGGAGCCUGGACCUGUUUCAUCUUUACAAGUCCAUUUAAAUGUCCCAAGCAGGCAUAUGGAUGAAUGUGAGCCAAGACAGAAUGGAUGACUCAACACCAUGGGAAUUUUAAAACCAUGUUUCUAAAAGUCCUGUUCCAAAUUUAUGUCAUUAAGAUGUUGCCAUCUGGCCAAAAUUGUUGUUUUAGCAGAUAACAAUCAAUUUGACAGAAGAAUCAUUUUUUUGUUUUGCUUCUGUAGUAUUCGUUCCAUGGUUAAAUUAAGACUAGUAUAGCAAAUGUUAACCUUUUUGUAUAGCAUCAUCUAUAUAUAUCACUCUGGAUGUUUCCGGAUAUGAAAAAACAGGAAUGAUAUGUUACAACUUGCCUGCUUUACUCUCAUUAUCUUGUACAGAGGAAUUACUUUUAUCUCUUGGAACUUGCUCAGAAGUAAGUUCUAUUGAGUCCAAUGGGACUUACUCCUAAGUUAGUGUGUACAGGAAUACCCCGCAUUAAUGUACACAGUGGGUCCAGAGUGAGUACAUAAACCGAAAAUGUACUUAAAGUGAAGCACUACCUUUUUUCACUUUACCGCCACUGUGCCACCUCUCCUUCACGUGGAGCCUCAAAGCCCUGUGCUAAAGCCUCUGCUUCUGCGCUGCCGCGCCUCUCAACUGGUCAUGAUCGCGCCUCCCAGCUGAUUUGCAGUCGCAUGGUCGCAUCUCUUUCCACCCCCCACCUAAAUAACAGGCCACAACCAAAGGUUAAGUGUCCGUUCUUGCAAAGCGAAGUACGUAAACAGGGGAAUGGUGCUACUGUAAGUAUGUCUACUCGUGAGUGUCCAUAAAGUGAAGGUCCAUAUAGCGGGGUAUUUCUGUAUAGGAUAGCAGCCUAAAAAUUGUAAAUAUCCUAUUAAACAGGAAGACAUUUUUCAGAAACUUAGUCAAACAUCACAUUAUAAUCCUAUAAGCAAUCCUUUUCAUUCAUUUUGAGCAUUUGAAACGUAAGGCUGGGUAAAACAAUUGCAAGAAAUUUAAAAAUCUUUAUAGUGGGGCUUUUUAAAAUUCUGAAACUAUAAACUUCAUAUUUUGUGUGUUAAGCAGAAGAAAAUAAACACCAAGAGAAUGUGUUUACACUGAUUUUCCAUACAUGCAAACCAGAAUCAUUUUUUUGGUCUAUUAUCACUACCGUGUGGAGUUUUUAACUAAAUAGAGGUUGAUUCCCCCUCUAGUAUACAUACCUUAACGUGGUGAGGGGGUUUGAGAGUGUUAAAACUAAACAAUGGCCCACAGACUGGAAGCGUUCAGUAUACAUCCUAAUUCUAAAGAAAGGGGAUCCCAGGCAAUGCAGUAAUUAUCAAACUAUUGCCUUAAUAUCCCAUGCAAGUAAAGUCAUGCUCAAGAUUCCAUAACAAAGGCUCUUACCAUAUAUGGAUUGAGAAAUGCCUGACGUCCAAGCUGGAUUUAGAAAGGGAAGAGGCACCAGAGAUCAUAUCGCAAACAUACGUUGGAUAUUGGAACGGACUAAAGAAUUUCAGAAGGAAAUCACCCUGUGCUUUAUAGAUUACAGCGAAACCUUUGAUUGUGUAGAUCAUGAAAAACUAUGGAAUGCUUUAAAAAAAAGGGGGGUGCCAUAGCAUCUGAUUGUUCUGAAGCGCAACCUAUACUCUGGACAAGAGGCUACUGUAAGGACAGAAUAUGGAGAAACUGAUUGGUUCCCAGUCAGAAAGGGUGUGAGACAGGGGUGUAUUUUAUCACCCUACUUGUUUAAUCUAUACCCAGAACAUAUACAGAAAACGGGAUUGGACCAAGAUGAAGGAGGUGUGAAAACUGGAGGGAGAAAUAUCAAUAAUUUAAGAUAUGCAGAUGAUACCAUACUCUCAACAGAAACCAGUAAUGAUUUGAAACGAAUCCUGAUGAAAGUUAAAGAGGAAAGCACAAAAGCAGGACUACAGAUGAACGUCAAGAAGACCAAAGUAAUGACAACAAAAGAUUUAUGUAACUUUAAAGUUGAUAACAAGGAUAUUGAACUUGUCAAGGAUUAUCAAUACCUCGGCUCAGUCAUUAACCAAAAUGGAGCCAAUAGUCAAUAAAUCAGAAGACUAGGACUGGGGAGGGCAGCUAUGAGAGAACUAGAAAAGGUCCUCAAAUGCAAAGAUGUAUCACUGAACACUAAAGUCAGGAUCAUUCAGACCAUGGUAUUCCCGUUAUCUAUGUAUGGAUGUGAAAGUUGGACAGCGAAAAAAGCGGAUAAGAGAAAAAUCCACUCAUUUGAAAUGUGGUGUUGGAGGAGAGCUUUGCGCAUACCAUGGACUGCAAAAAACACAAAUUCACUAACAGGCAAUAAACCUUGCAGUUUAAGAACGUACCUAUAGCCCACAGAUAUUUCUAUCAAACUUUAAAAAGCAGGGAAAUUGGGCAGCUAUAGUGAAUGCACCAGGGGAGCAGGAGACCUGACCUUCUGUCUGAGAUAUUGUAUUGCCCUACAAAUUUGUCAAAAUUUAAACACAAUUUGGGUUGAUCUUUCACAGUCCAAUCCACUUGCUGUGUAGCUUGGAAAAACAUGUUCAUCUGAGCAUAUGGUAAGUGGUGGCAACACCCGCCAUCUCCAAAGAUGGAGAAUUACAUUUUUGUAUGUUUGUUGGUGUUCUUCUUACUCUGCUUCUUUCCUGUAUUACUUUUGUUUCUGCAGAGAAUCUACUCUAGAAAAUUCAUUUUCGUCAUUAUUCAUCCUAGAAACCUGUGUCAAAUUUAUUUUUAUUAAUUUCAAAGCCUUUUUAUUGGUCAGUGUCAUAUGAUGAUGAAGAAAGCCUUUUGUGUUUCAGAUUGGAGGUUAUGUUCUAUUUCUGUUUUGGGUGCAUUAACAGUUGAAUCUGAAACUGCAGUUUUGAUGUAAAAUCAGACUGAUUACAAUAUGUUGCUACUUAAGCAAUGACACUAGCUGUUGGAAAAAACAAACUUAGCCUGUCCAAGAUGCAUGCUCACAUAAUGUGAAGACAUGAUUCACUAGAAAAGACAAUAAUGCUGGGAAAAACAGAAGGGAGUAGAAAAAGAGGAAGGCCAAGCAAGAUUGAUUCCAUAAAGGAAGCCACAGUCCUGAACUUACAAGAUCUGAACAGGGUGGUUCAUGACAGAUGCUAUUGGAGGUCACUGAUUCAUUGGGGCACCAUAACUCGUAAUUGACCUGAAGGCACAUAACAACAACAACAAAGAGGUUGAUUCAUUCAUUAAAAUAAGUGGCCCAUUUGUUCUCAUUCCCUCUUAUGUGUUCCCCAUAUAGUCUGUGAUCAAUAAAGGUCGUAGGAAUAAAUAAUUCAAGCUCCCUCAUCUUCCCAAUACAAGGCCACAUAAAGGAGGGACAAAUAGCUCAGUGCAUCUGAGGGGUUGUAAGUUCGGUGGUGAAGCAUCUGCAUUGUAUGAAGAAGAUUGUAGGUUCAGCCCAUGGCAUAUACGUUGUGACAGAUUUUGGGUAGCAAGACAGAGAGAGACCUCUGCUGGGGUCUGGGGGAGAGGAGGGGGACAUUACUAUAUGGCAGUGGGUGAAAUCAGCACAUGACAGGUCUAAAAACAUUUGUCAGCAUUUUGAUGCACAUUUUUUCUAAUAUACACAUUUUUGCAAGCAAUUUCCCCUUCUAUAAUGCAUUUUAUAUGUUAAUUUUCAUUAAGCAUGCAUUUAUACGCACACUUUCCCAUAAUAUUAUGCAUUUUGUACACAUUGGUUGGAGAACUACAUUGCGAAAUUCAGUAAAGUGCAAAUUUCAAAGAAUAGCUGCACUUUGGUACAUGUAUUGUUUUGGGGAAGAGUGAAUUAGGAAGGUUUGUAUUAAAAUGCAAACUGAACCAAAUAUUUUCC